CCAGAGUCUUUCUGAGGAUUGGUUGUCUGCUCCGCCGCCCUCCUUUGCGCCCUCUCCGCCCUCCGGGUCUCUGUGCCUGGCGCGGAACUCCGGCCUUUUUGUCCCACGGAGUUGGUCGGCGGAUCCGCUGCUACUUUGUAGUGAGUGGCGGGCAGGGCCUCAGCCGCCGCUGCCGGAACCCCGACCUGGGCUGACCUUGGGCCGUGGGACAUUGUCUCUGACGUCUCGAAGACAGAGCGAUCUCAGUUCUAAAGCGCAGGAUCUCUGUCUUUGUGCAUCUCCAAAACUUCAACUUUCAACUCUACGGAACUCCCACUGAUUCCUGAAAGAAGACUCUUCUCUGCCAGAGGAGGCUGCUACAAAGAAUGAGACCAUGCCUGUUAAAUUGCCUACAGAAGUUCAGAUGCAAGAUCAGAUACAAAAAUUCACCAACCAGUCAGUCAACUACUUCUCCAAGACUACCCACCCCUGACACCCAAGACGAGAUCUAGAACUCUUUGUCAAAUCCUCAGACUCCAGAGACUCUGCCCCCACUUAAGCCCUCCCUGACCCCUGUUACAGGAAUAACACUCUUUUGUCUCUAAUCAGCAAGAAAAAGCUGCAGAAGAAAGACCUUCAUCCCCACUCCUGGUAUCUGUAAAAAUAAAAAGGGAGGAAUGUUGGCAUCAGAUCUGCCAUUUUAGCUCAGGAGCCAUUUUAUCUAGGAACUCCUAAGACAAUGUUGAUCAGCUUCUUGUAAAAUAUGUAACUGCUAAAAGGUCAGCCCCACCCCAGCCCAUUUUGCAACCCCUAAACGGCAUGUGAAAUUCCUCUUGCAGCCUAUAAAGCCCUCGUGAGUGUUGACACUGCUGCUCUCCUUGGAGGGACAGUCUUGCAGGUUUGCUCUAUGAGACUGACAAUAAAUCGCUUAUGUGAGAUUUGGUGUGAAUGGUGUGGUCUGUGGACUUUGCGAAUGUCCUUUCAACUAGAUUCCCACUUUGCCAAAGUUUUAAGAAUAAAAUCCUUGGACU
This 1010-nucleotide long non-coding RNA is filed under the name Ictidomys tridecemlineatus (thirteen-lined ground squirrel). RNAcentral's name for it is "lncRNA (ENSSTOG00000030660.1)". Lineage: Eukaryota; Metazoa; Chordata; Mammalia; Rodentia; Sciuridae. The record is from RNAcentral.